RNAcentral lists this ribosomal RNA (1251 nucleotides) under Vietnamella dabieshanensis. Its description in RNAcentral is "16S ribosomal RNA". The stretch from base 574 to 1251 matches the Rfam family "Archaeal large subunit ribosomal RNA", at positions 1423 to 2799 of the family's 2987-position model. Lineage: Eukaryota; Metazoa; Arthropoda; Insecta; Ephemeroptera; Ephemerellidae. The record is from RNAcentral.
AAGGUAGCUAAUAAUAAGCUUGUUUUGAAAAAAUAAUGUAUAUAGAAAUUAUUAUUAGGUAAUAAAAAGAAUUGAGUGUUUAGUAUUGAAUAAAAAUAAAAUAUAAAAUAUAAGUACUGUGAAGGAAAAAUGAAAGAAAGUAAAAUUAAAGCAAAGUAAUAAAAUUAUGUACCUUUUGUAUCAGGGUUUAUUAAAUAAUAAUAAAUAUAUAAAAAUCUCGAUUUGAAGAGAGCUAAAAUUCUAAGUUAGUUAAAGUAACAAAUUUAUUAAACAUAUAAUUUUAGAAAUGAAAUAUUAACCGGUCUUCAAGGUAUCUAGUUUCUUAAGAAAUAAAUUUAAUUUAGGUUGUAUAAACUAUAUACAUAUAUUUUAUAUUUAUAUAACUAAAAUUUUAGGGGAUAAGCUCUAAAAUGAUUUAAAAACAGGAAAUAAACUAAAAGUUAUAGGCUUAAUAAUAGCCAUUAAAAUAAUAUGUUAUAAUUAACUUAUAGAAAAUAUAAUUUUUGUUAUUUUAAGAUUCUAUUAAGAAAUUUUUUAAAACGGAAGUAAAAAAAGUUAUAAUGAUAAAAUAAUUAUAAAAUAUAAGUCUAAUUAAAGAACUCGGCAAAGUAGAGCUCGCCUGUUUAUCAAAAACAUCGCUUUUAGAUAAAAUUAAAAGUAUGGCCUGCCCACUGAUAUAUUUAAAGGGCCGCGGUAUUUUGACCGUGCAAAGGUAGCAUAAUCAUUAGUCUUUUAAUUGGGGACUAGCAUGAAUGGCGAUACGAGGCUCUCACUGUCUCAAUUAGAAUAAUAAAAUUUAACUUUUUAGUUAAAAGGCUAAAAUAAAAUUAAGGGACGAGAAGACCCUAUAGAUCUUUAUAAAUAAUUAAUAAAAUUUUAAGAAUAAAUAAUAAUUAAAAUUAAGAAUUUAUUGAGUUGGGGUGAUUGAAUUAUAAUUAAACUAAUUUUAAUAUUAUCAUUAAUAUAUGUGUACAUGAUCCGUUAUGCGAAUAAAAGAAUAAGAUACCUUAGGGAUAACAGCGUAAUCUUCUUAGAGAGUUCAUAUCGAAAAGAAGGGUUGCGACCUCGAUGUUGGAUUAAAGGUAAUUUUAGGUGUAACCGCUUAAAGUCUAGGUCUGUUCGACCUAUAAAACUUUACAUGAUCUGAGUUCAGACCGGCGUGAGCCAGGUCGGUUUCUAUCUUUAAUAAAAUAGCUAUUUUAGUACGAAAGGACCAAAUAUCUAAGCUAAGCUUUAAAGUAGACUAUUAAU